UGGUCCUAUAUAUAUGCCAUAAUCUAAUUGAUCCAAAUUUCCCUUUUCUAUAUGUGUCUCCCAAAAUGAUUAACUUCCAAAAUUGCCUUGGCCAAUUUGAUACCAAAUGUUUUUAGUGAUGAAUUGUCGUAAAAAUGAUAAUUGGGAUAUUGAUAUUUUUUAAAAAACUUGUUAUUAUUACUUUUUGUUACGAAAGAUUUAUCAGAGACGAUUUUCUUAUCCUUGCAAAGUAAGACCUGAUAAAAUCUGUGUACAUGAAUUAUACUACAUAUAUUACUGCUGAAUAUUUUUGGUAAGGAUGAUAUGAAAGUUAAUAAUUAUUAUCUUCUAAGUAACCUGAUUAUACAUCUAAGAUUAGUUUUGAUGCUCCUAGAUGUAUUUAAUUUAAUCUUUUGACAUAAUUUAUAAUUAGUGGGCCGGAUCUUGGGCCAGCACAUCAUAUAUAUCUCAAUUCUAUAAGACAAAGAAAUUAAAAAGCCCCAAAACUGAGAAAUGUAACAAAAUUUUGGAAAGUUAUUGAAUUCUUUUUUCUUUUUCUUCAAAACGUGUUCGUUUUGUUGAGCUGUAUAACCGUUUUUCCCCAAAAAUACUUUCUCCUCUCCCCAGUAACUAUUCUUCUCAAGAAUUCUCUCACUCUCCAUUGUUUCUUCUCAAGAAUUCUCUCUCCAUUAUUUCUUCUCCCAAACACUGUUUCUUCUCCCAAACUACUGUUCUUCCAGGCACAAUGCCUGCAUCAUAUAUUGAAAAGAUAGUGUGGCAGGUCGUAGCUGUACUGUUUCACUUCGCUACUGCGUGCUUUGUCAUGAUUCGAGGUGAAACAGUGAUUAUGCUUCUGAGCCUAGCUUGGGUCGCCUUCUCACCACUGGUGCAUCUUUAUGCGUUUCUCAGUACGAGAAGGCAUGGCGACGAACAAAUCAGACGUCCUAAUUUGGUAAGGGCUAAUGUGUGGGAUGUCAGGUUUGUUAUGCAUUCUAAUGGCCUUUAGACCGAUUGCUACUGACGGCGGCGUCCACUAUAUCGUCUCUCAUUUGAUAAUGAAUAUGUCCGUGCGAGAUUAAGGAUUUACUAAUAUCAAGACUUUAAUUGCUAUGAUGAUCAUGUGCUACCUGUGGAAAAAGAAAGAUGAAUUACCAAUGAGGUAAGGCGUAGACAGCCUGAGACGCUUGAGGUAGCAGGGACAUGUCACGGACUUAGAGUAUUUGCUAAGAUUUCGUAUGGCACUUGACAACUUACUCACGAUUCUUUCACUAUCUCGUAAGCUCAAGUAAGCCUUUAAACUCGAGAAUAUGAAGAAACACUUAGAAAAUGCAAAGAGAACUUUAGAAGAAGGAACCUUGUAUUACUACUUUACUUGGUUGGAUUGUUGGAUGAUUUACAAAUUAAUGACCCUCCUAUUUAUACUACAUCCUAAGAGCCUUAGUGUAAAUAAAAUUUACUAUACAAGUCUUUCUACUAACUACACUUUAGUCCAUAUUCUAGAGAAUUCUACAUUGUCUAGAAUAUGCUAAAGUCUUCUACAAAGCUCUAAAGUAUUCUAGAGAAUUCCCUAGAAUUCUCUAGUCUUCUCCACAAAACUAGAAGUUUCUAGAGCCUUCUUGCAAACCUCUUCAAGACUCUAGCUCCUCCUCCUCCAUUCCUUCUUGGAACUUUCUUCGUGCGCGGUGGCAAGGCCUUCUCAGCACCAUUGUCUUCUCCCAAACUUGCAAUGGUAGCUGCAUAUGUCAUCUUUUUUCCCUCGUCGACCCGCUCGAGCUUCAUGGCCGUCAGCCGGACUUGUCCCUCCGUCUUCUGUGCCUUCAUCAUGGGAACCAUACAUGUUCCUCCUUUCUCCAUGACCAUCAGUUGUUGGAGGUAAGGAUCGAUCACCGCAUGACACUGCUGGAAGAACUCCUGCCCAAGAAUUAUAUCAAAAAUAUCUAAGGGAGCGACGGUGAAUUUGGUUUUACCUUGCCAAUCGCCUAUCGUGAUGCUCACUCCGUGCGCAACUCCAUCUACCGGAGUUGGUGGUGCAUUGACCGUCCUGAUUUGGGCGUUGCUUGGACCGUAACGCAACCCCAACCUCGUUGCUACCUUCUUGGCCAGGUAAUCUUAUUGAGGGUGAUAAUAUGUGGUCAUGGUUUACGUUUGGUGUUGUCAUUCCCCUGGGCUCCAUAAUCUCAGGCAUACCGUUAACAUUAUUACUCCAUAAUCCAACUGAUGGAACCCUUUUUAACAGAAAGCAGCUAGCAAAACGUUGCUCCAAUCAAAAGUUGAAAACAUAGCUUGUUUUGUUUUGAAGUACAAUUUUGAUGUUUUCACAUAAGUUUGUUACUUGCACUUUGUGUUUUGCUUAUUUUAUUAGCAAUAUUUUCGUC
Solanum lycopersicum (tomato) is the source of this 2354-nucleotide non-coding RNA. NCBI's taxonomy places the organism in Eukaryota, Viridiplantae, Streptophyta, Magnoliopsida, Solanales, Solanaceae. The record is from RefSeq and is a predicted model, not a curated record.